Molecule: long non-coding RNA, 1089 nt
Filed under: Mytilus galloprovincialis (Mediterranean mussel)
Lineage: Eukaryota; Metazoa; Mollusca; Bivalvia; Mytilida; Mytilidae
Source: RNAcentral
CUACAACUUCUGCAGGUAAAGCUUCUGAAACCACAAAUCUUGUCCUCUUCAUAUCAUUAAAUAAUAACUUGAAUUAACAGCUAUCAAGUAUUACAAUUUAAAUUGGCUGAAAUAAAAUUAAAAUAAUUGAUAUUUUGUUCUGAUAAAUAGCAGAAGUGCCAACAGAAAAUUGCCUUAAUCUGUUGAGAAAAAAAACAAAAAAUUUCUCUCUAGACCUACAGGUAUUUUUCCAAUUUCGGGUUGUAAAGUUGUGUCACAGUAACAAGAUCAUUUUUUGGCAUGACAUAGCCUGCUGAAGCUGAGUUCAACACACAUUUAUUAUUUGAGGAGGUCUUGUUAACCUUUUCACUGACAGCAGGCAAUUUAAAGCGGAGAUGUUUGUCUUUUGGAGCCUUUAUCUAGUUAAUAUAUCACAAGGUCAACAUUUGUUAAAAAUUUAGUUAAUAUACAAAUGUAUAUAAGAAAAAUGAGAUGUAAUAUAUAUGAUGCCAAUGAAACAACUAACCACCAAAGUUUAGAAAAAGUGAAUGUAAGCACCUUAUUGCCUUCAACAAUGAGAAAAUCCCAUACCCUGUAGUUAGCUAUAAGAGAUUAUGAUAUGAAAACUAAAGGCUUCAUUUAUAACAAAACAAUUUAUGAAAAACAAAUUAUACAGAGGGCAACUAAUGUAAUGUCAACUACUGAACUGCAGGCUCCUGACUUGGGGAAAGGCACAUAAAGAAUUAUUAAUAAGCACUCAACCCUCUCCCUAACCUGGGGGAAGGUUGAGUGCACCCUUAUACAUAUUCGUUGGCCUUAUCUAUUGAUCACUUUAUAUAUUUAUUCAGCUGAAGAAGAAAUGGAAGAUGAUGAUGAUGAUGAAGGUCCUAUGGUAUCCAUAGGUGGUGCUUAAGUUUCCAUACAUGACGUAACAGAUGAUAUGGUUGCUAAAAUGACACCCCAGGAGAAGGAGGAGUAUAUCAGACUUGGACAAGAAAUGUAUCAAGACAUGUAUGAAUAAUGUUGACAAAUAAAGUUCAAUAUUUUCAGGAAACAUUCCCAGCAGUUUUGACUCAUUCCACAUGUGUUCAGUUGCAAAAUACAUAGCUA